This is a non-coding RNA of Merluccius polli (Benguela hake), 71 nucleotides long. Lineage: Eukaryota; Metazoa; Chordata; Actinopteri; Gadiformes; Merlucciidae. The record is from the annotation of a GenBank genome assembly.
GGUCCCGUCUAGCUCAACUGGUAGAGCGUUAACACCGCCGGGGUUAGGGUGUUCGAUUCCCACCGGGGCCA